This 71-nucleotide transfer RNA is filed under the name Camelus bactrianus (Bactrian camel). It matches the Rfam family "tRNA". From Rfam's summary of the family: Transfer RNA (tRNA) molecules are approximately 80 nucleotides in length. Lineage: Eukaryota; Metazoa; Chordata; Mammalia; Artiodactyla; Camelidae. RNAcentral also lists the same sequence under 2 other names. The record is from Rfam by way of RNAcentral.
GAGGGUAUAGCUCAGAGUAGAACACGUGCUUAGCAUGCAUGAGGUCCUGGGUUCAAUCCCCAGUACCUCCA